CAGCAGCCGCGGGAAUACGUAGGUGGCAAGCGUUGUCCGGAAUUAUUGGGCGUAAAGCGCGCAGGCGGAUCAGUCAGUCUGUCUUAAAGGUUCGGGGCUUAACCCCGUGAUGGGAUGGAAACUGCUGAUCUAGAGUAUCGGAGAGGAAAGUGGAAUUCCUAGUGUAGCGGUGAAAUGCGUAGAUAUUAGGAAGAACACCAGUGGCGAAGGCGACUUUCUGGACGAAAACUGACGCUGAGGCGCGAAAGCCAGGGGAGCGAACGGGAUUAGAUACCCCUGUAGUCCCUGUCUCUUAUACACA
This 301-nucleotide ribosomal RNA is filed under the name uncultured bacterium. RNAcentral describes it as "partial 16S ribosomal RNA". It matches the Rfam family "Bacterial small subunit ribosomal RNA", at positions 509 to 811 of the family's 1533-position model. The record is from RNAcentral.